RNAcentral lists this ribosomal RNA (310 nucleotides) under uncultured bacterium. RNAcentral describes it as "bacterial SSU rRNA". It matches the Rfam family "Bacterial small subunit ribosomal RNA", at positions 1045 to 1365 of the family's 1533-position model. The record is from RNAcentral.
AUGGCUGUCGUCAGCUCGUGUCCGUGAGGUGUUGGGUUAAGUCCCGCAACGAGCGCAACACCUGUCGCCAGUUAUACGUGUCUGGCGAGACCGCCGGGAGAAACCCGGAGGAAGGUGGGGAUGACGUCAAGUCAGCAUGGCCCUUACGUCCUGGGCUACACACACGCUACAAUGGGCCGGUACAAAGGGCUGCGAUGCCGUGAGGUGGAGCGAAUCCUUUCAAAGCCGUUCUCAGUUCGGAUCGGGGUCUGCAACUCGACCCCGUGAGUCGGAGUCGCUAGUAAUCGCAGAUNAGCAGGCUGCGGUGAUA